CUCAGGCAUAAAACACUGAACUGGUUGCAUGAACACAGCAGCCUCUAGUCUCCAGAUGAGAAGCUGACCUUACAUGGGAAUAUUCGCAACAUCAAACACGAAAACCAAUCUUCCCUCUCAGCUCCAACAAAAGCACAGUAUGAAAGGGAACUUCCACAGGCCGAGAAGAGAGAACAAAUGGAAGCUUCUCUGGCAAAGCAGUUGGUUUGCAGCUGAUGAUUUUGGAAGCUGCCUCCCUGCUGAGUCUCAGAACCACCUCUCCACCUGUCUGCUGGCCCCCUGGAAGACACCCACCAUUAACUGAAAACACUAUCGGUCCAAAGCCAGGUUCAAGGUCUCUACCUCCUCUCUUGACCUCCUGCCAACCUGUUCCUUGUCUAAUGUCCGCUAAGGCCACACCUCUCGUCAUCCACACUCCUGAGUUCCUUUCGACUUCUCCUCCUCCUGGUCUUUCCAUUCUAGUCUUUUUUUCCUGCUCUGAUACUGUGCCUGCACCAGGUCAGGCUUUCUUUACCAUCUUUCUUCAUACCUGGCUCAGUCUUCCGGCUGACUGUCCUGGGUCCGGGGAUUCCCUUCUGACAUUUACCCAGAAGACACCUGCCAAAUACAUCUUCCUGUCCGUACAUCACUGGAGCCCCCAGAGUGGCUCCCUAGUGCCUACUGGCUGAAUUCCUUAACCUCAUGUUUCAGGUCCUCUGCAUCUCUAGCAAACCUGUUGUUCCUGCUUAUUUCAAGCCACUUCCCUCUUUGUACACCUGAAAUGCUAGCAAACCAGCAUAUUGGUGAAGCGUUCAAAACAUCAUGCCCUUUUGCAAUUUACUUGGAUUUCCAUUUCUGUAUAUUUAAAUCCUGCUCAUGAUUGUUGGUCUAGCUGAAAUGUCACCUUUCCCACAAAGCCAAUCAUUCCUUCAUCAGCCAAUAUUUAUUAAGCAUUUAUUCUGUUACAAACACUCCUGAUCGUUUCGGCACACAGACACUCUUGUGAACAUAUUCAGAUCCCCCAUUAUGCUGUAAAUUUCUUAGAGCUGAUCUUUUAUUUAUUUUUAUAUCUUCAACACUGCCUAAUAAUGUGCCUUGCAAAUACUGGGUGUUCAAUAAUAUUUGUUGAA
Ictidomys tridecemlineatus (thirteen-lined ground squirrel) is the source of this 1109-nucleotide non-coding RNA. NCBI's taxonomy places the organism in Eukaryota, Metazoa, Chordata, Mammalia, Rodentia, Sciuridae. The record is from RefSeq and is a predicted model, not a curated record.